CCUCCUUUUUUCAUCAUUUAUUAAUAUUUUUCAAUGGGCGAUAGCCUGAACCAGCCAAGUCGCGUGAGGGAAGACGGCCCUACGGGUUGUAAACCUCUUUUGUCAGGGAGCAAGAACGGAUACGUGUAUCCGAGCGAGAGUACCUGAAGAAAAAGCAUCGGCUAACUCCGUGCCAGCAGCCGCGGUAAUACGGAGGAUGCGAGCGUUAUCCGGAUUUAUUGGGUUUAAAGGGUGCGUAGGCGGAUUUUUAAGUCAGCGGUAAAAUGUCCGGGCUCAACCCGGGCCGGCCGUUGAAACUGGGGAUU
RNAcentral lists this ribosomal RNA (305 nucleotides) under uncultured bacterium. Its description in RNAcentral is "bacterial SSU rRNA". It matches the Rfam family "Bacterial small subunit ribosomal RNA", at positions 338 to 641 of the family's 1533-position model. The record is from RNAcentral.